Grus americana (Whooping crane) is the source of this 4147-nucleotide long non-coding RNA. RefSeq lists it as uncharacterized. The record is from RefSeq and is a predicted model, not a curated record. The transcript is spliced from 3 exons. NCBI's taxonomy places the organism in Eukaryota, Metazoa, Chordata, Aves, Gruiformes, Gruidae.
UGCUCCCGGCCCCCGCCGCCCAGCAGCAGGGGCCCCUGGUAGGCGCCGUCGCGGCCCGGGGGGCUGCUGCCCGGCGGGCUGUGGGAGUAGGAGAAGCCCGACGGCGGGUGGGGGCUGCCGGCGUUGAAGGCAGCGGCCUCGCCGCUGCUCUGCCCCCAUCCCGGGGGGUUGGCGAGGUGGCUCUGGUGCGGUUCGCAGCCUUGCAGAUUGGAUCAGCCAGGCUAAAGAAAAAUAGAGACAGCCAGAGCGCCAGCGCCGCAGCCCUCGCUGCACGAGGGGCACGGGCGUCGGGGAGGUUCAGAAAUGCAUACCCGUUUGCAGAGGUCACCACCCCAGAAGGUUUCCAUAGUUCUCAUGAUUGCAGAAAUGCCUUUUGAUAUGAGCGGUCUAAUUCCACGCAACUGGAGUUGAGAUUUGAGAUAUAAAUGCAGCCCAGUUAAAAUGAAUAGCUGCAAACCCGUGAGCUCUUGACUCUGACCUGCUUUCUGCCUAAAGAGCACACCGGGAAAGCAACAGCUACAUCCCUCCCUUGUUGGAAUCUGAUGAAUCCCUGUAAGGACGUUAUUUGAAAGCUGAAACAAUCAAAUGUGUUCUUCCCCAUGCAUUAAAGUAUAAUAUCCAUAUACAAAGGCAAGUAUUCAAAUGAGUGGCACAGAACAGAUCUCUUUAACACAGUAUUAAAGCAAUCUGUUUAUAAUCCUGAAGGAGCCCGGGAUUUCCCCGCAGCUCUUUGGUUGCAGGGAUGAAACAACCCUGGAGUGUUGCAAAGUUGGGUAGGGAGGCUUUUACUGCACUAUCAAGUCUAAGUGCAGAAAUAAGAAUGUAUUUUCUCCUUCCUUCUGAUUAAUAGUUCCAGUCAACAUCAGCUAACUUAUUCCUAUUGACAGAUCUAUGAAAUACUUGCAGAAUCAACAGCUAUAAAAUAGAUGGCAAUGCACUGGCACCAUAAAGCCAUAACGUUUGUGUCUAUUGCAAUCAAGGCUUUUAAAACCUAAUUACUUCUGGGUGACAUCAGUCAUAUAUUUUCAUGUGAAAUUACAGUGGCAUGCAAGUGCCCAGCAAAAUAAAAGAAAACAAAUGAUGUCCUAUAAUAACGGAGAAGUGAACUAUCAUUUUUAAUCUGGCAUGAAAGCUCCAACUGAUGAAGCUUAAUACAACUUGUUAAAACACCUAACAAGCGAGGAAGUGAUUAAGUAUUGUCCUUUUGCCUCUGGGAAAUGGGAUCUGCUCUCAGCAAGCACGGAGUGACUGAGAUAGCCCUUUGGAGCUGAUUGAGCUGCACAUAAAGUAACUUCUAAUGAUCUCAGUCCACUUUGAGCCAUAAAGAUUUAGAAGGGACAAUAUUUUAGAAAUGAUCAAGUUCCACUCUUUUUAUUAGUGAGGAUAAAACACCUUUGUGGAGGAAAUUAAACAGAAUAAAUUGCUUAAGCCUUCUGCAGCUUCCAUCAUUUAGCGGCGUCGGAAGAGCGCAGCCCGGCAGACACCAAGGGGGAGCAGGAGCUCAUCCGCAGCGGAGUGAAGUGAGGGGAAAACCUGCCUUUUGCUGCCAAACUGAAACACGAGGGGUUUCCAGGCUGAGUAAAGUCCUGCCUCUGGUAAAAUCCUUCUGAACAACUCUAUUGACCUGAUGUUUUUAUAGAAGGGCGUGAAGACACCCCACAGCCUCCACCUCUGUUACCUUUCCAGCAUGCCUGUGUUAUGUCCCUCCGUCCCCACGGGGAAACUGAGGCACUCCGGAACCGCGGUGAGGUUUGGGGCUGUGCAGGGCACGCAGAGCCUGAGGCUGCCCAGGCUCCCUCUGCAGCCGGGGCGAAGGAGGAGCGUCCUUCGGAGGAGCACGCAGAGGGCUCCAGGGAUGCUUCUGCCCUGCUCUCCAAAUUGCAGCAUUACUGCCAAAUCGCCUCCAGUGCUAAUGUCUCCACAGGGACAAACCUGCAGAAGUUCCCAGUUCCUGCAACGGACCAUAGCAGAACCUGCUACAGUUUGGUCUUCUGACUUUUAUUAAGGACGCGUUUUUCAGGAGAUGUUUCUUUUAUGGUGCUUAAAUUAAGUUUUCAAGGUUAAUUGUCCAAUUUGAUGUCUUUAGUUCAAUAAAUAAUUCAGAGACAGUUUACGUCCUCCUAUGUAAAGAUGCCUACUGAGGUUACAGUCGCAGCCCGGCACUUCCUCUGAUGUGCUAUUAGCUAAUGUGCUGAAGGUUUUUCCACCUCAUUUUGGAAGCAUUUAUGCUCUUCGAGAGGACAUUUGAAUGGAACUGAAGUUCACUGGAAGGGACCGUAGUGAAGACAGCCAAAGCCACCCAGCUAUCGAUAAAGUCACUGCCAACGUCCGUCGUCCAGUGAUUUUCCUGUUGUCAGCAGCCAAACAGCAAUAGCACAGCAAUAACUUCAGGUCUUAACAACAACCCACCAGACUUCAGUUCAGCAGGUCAAAUCGAGGAGCCUUUUACAUGCUCUUUGGGGACUCUUUGCAGAGCAGCUAACUCAGACAACUCUUUUCUGUGAGACUCUGAGUUGUUACCAGAGCUGAUAGAGACGCCGUUGGAAAUUUCACGUCGCUAAACUGCUGUGCGCUAUAUAUGAAGUUGCUUCUCUUAGUCACGUUUUUAUAGCUCUCUUGCAAACAAUCUACAAGACUGGUUUUCCUAUAGGCUUUUUAUAAUGGGAUCAUAACCCUGCUGGGACUCCCAGGUACCAAUGCAAAAAUCCCCUAUAAAUCAUAAAUAUUCCUGCGGUGCCUUAGUGUGAGUUCCAGGGCUGGGGGAGUCCCAGGGGAGCGCUGCUGGGGACGGUGCUUACUCCUCCCCACCCAGGGACCAGGAGCUGGCAAAAGAGAGGGAUGCCUCUUCUUUUAUCAACAUUGGAGGAGUCUUGGGGGACUGAUUAGUUAAUGUCGGUACCAUGCUACCAAUAUAUAAAGCAAAAGAUUCGCAGUGCUUACUAAAUACCGGUCUUUUCCCUGUUAAUCAAACUCCAUGCUGAGUUGACAGCAUCAGGAUUUUCAGCAAAUCCACCAGCCCCAAUAUCUGUAGGUGCUUUAUAAUCUCAAACCCCAUCAUCCCUCUCAAGUACCACUGCAGGUCUGCUGGCACUGCGCUCGCCUGCGGGUCAGUAGGUCGUGGGGGAUUCGGGUAAGAGCUGUAGCUGGAUCAGUCCCGGUGCUGACACUGCAAUGCAGCUCCGAUGCAGAGCUCCCGGCAGAGGGACAUUGAUUCAAUGGUACAGUUGUCGUCCUUUAAAUAAAGGUCACGUUGCAGGGGCUGGCUCUGCUCGUGUGCGCGUGUACCUGGAGGGGAAGGCUGGAGCGGGAGUUUGGGUAAGAGCGAGCUGCUGCGCCCUGCGUUAGUGCCAGGGGUGGGGACACGCUGGGAUGGAGCCCUUGGUCCGUUCGCACCGUGCUGAGGACGCAGAGCUCUCCCAGGGCAACCAGCCGUAGGGCACAGGUAUGCCCUCGCUCUGCAAGAACCUGGGGGGUCAGCAGAGCAAAAACUGGUACCUAGAGGAUGCUAUUUCCAUAGUUGUCUGGUUACCCCACGACCUAUUUUUUGAUCUACUCGUGGAGGGGAAAAAAAAAAUACAAAGAUCUGAAUUUUGCCUGCUAGAGCAAAUUAUGGCUACAAAUAUUCUCACUUAAAAAAAAAAAUGCAGCUAUUGACAACGUGGCUCAUAGCUGAGCAGGGCUUGCAGAACAGCAGAUUCUGAGGUUUGUAACCGGCAAUGUAUUCAGGAGGCAUCUGAUCAAAGCUAUAAAGGGGGGAAAAAAUCAUCAAGGCAACAUUGUAAAAGAUGAUAGUUGUUAAAUCUAAUUUCAAUACUGUGUGUGCAUAACCUCUAACUCGAAGGCAUCUAAGCAUUCCAGACAUGGCCGGUGCAUUGUAAUUUUUGCAUCGUUUCACAUUACUCACAAGGUACAUUAGAUGGACACUGAAGGAUGAAUUAUUCUUUUCAGCAAAACAUUUUUGUGGAGUAAGUAAAUUUAUCUUGCGGGGAGAGUAAAAGGAAGAAAUAUGGCAUUGAAAUGUGCAGAUCUGAGUUGAACACAUCUCUCUUUUACAGGGAAACCAUGAUUUAAGUGCACUCUAUUACUAAUGUUUAAUAAAAGCCAUAAUUCAGAAUGUCAGGCUGAGGCUGUGUGCAUUGAAACUAUG